GUCCAGUAUAGGAGACACCAGCCACAUGUGGCUAUUUAAAUUUAAAUUCAUUAAAAUGAAAUAGAAUUAAACAUUCAGUUUCCCGGUUGCAUUUGUCACAGGUCAAACGCUCAGAGCCAUAUGUGGCUCGAGGCUGCCAUGUUGCACAGUGCAAAUCCACAGAGCGUUUCAUCCAAUGGUAUUGCCCUUGAAGGUGGGCAUUCCACAGCCCGCGGCCCUGACGAGGGAAAUGCACAGAGCCUCCUCCUGACCCGCAGCGCACAUGUGAGGAUUCCAAAUAAAGUUGCAGACUCCAUGUUCUUAGGGGAAGAGAGCGUAACUCCCGCUGCUUAAGUGAAGCCCAUGCAUAGUGACUUUGCUCCAGUGAGUCUGGAAAGCGGGACAAGGGAGUAACUUUCCUGUGGAGAAACCUGGCAGAGGCCACGACCGCCAGAUCAUCAGAAAAACCCCAACUGAGAGAAAUUCUACAGCAUGCCUG
This 478-nucleotide long non-coding RNA is filed under the name Homo sapiens (human). RNAcentral describes it as "HSALNT0025854". Lineage: Eukaryota; Metazoa; Chordata; Mammalia; Primates; Hominidae. The record is from RNAcentral.